GGGGCUGUGGCUUAGUGGUACAGCAUCUGGUUGUGAUGCAGAUCCCAAAUUCAAUCCCUGGUAUCUCCA
RNAcentral lists this transfer RNA (69 nucleotides) under Sphaerodactylus townsendi. RNAcentral describes it as "tRNA-His". It matches the Rfam family "tRNA". Rfam says of the family: Transfer RNA (tRNA) molecules are approximately 80 nucleotides in length. Their secondary structure includes four short double-helical elements and three loops (D, anti-codon, and T loops). The record is from RNAcentral. Lineage: Eukaryota; Metazoa; Chordata; Lepidosauria; Squamata; Sphaerodactylidae.